AACCCGAUGCAAACUACGAAUACCGAAGAAUGUUAUCACGGGAGACACACGGCGGGUGCUAACGUCCGUCGUGAAGAGGGAAACAACCCAGACCGCCAGCUAAGGUCCCAAAGUCAUGGUUAAGUGGGAAACGAUGUGGGAAGGCACAGACAGCCAGGAUGUUGGCUUAGAAGCAGCCAUCAUUUAAAGAAAGCGUAAUAGCUCACUGGUCGAGUCGGCCUGCGCGGAAGAUGUAACGGGGCUAAACCAUGCACCGAAGCUGCGGCAGCGACACUAUGUGUUGUUGGGUAGGGGAGCGUUCUGUAAGCCUGCGAAGGUGUGCUGUGAGGCAUGCUGGAGGUAUCAGAAGUGCGAAUGCUGACAUAAGUAACGAUAAAGCGGGUGAAAAGCCCGCUCGCCGGAAGACCAAGGGUUCCUGUCCAACGUUAAUCGGGGCAGGGUGAGUCGACCCCUAAGGCGAGGCCGAAAGGCGUAGUCGAUGGGAAACAGGUUAAUAUUCCUGUACUUGGUGUUACUGCGAAGGGGGGACGGAGAAGGCUAUGUUAGCCGGGCGACGGUUGUCCCGGUUUAAGCAUGUAGGCUGAUUGUCCAGGCAAAUCCGGAUAAUCAAGGCUGAGGUGUGAUGACGAGGCACUACGGUGCUGAAGUAACAAAUGCCCUGCUUCCAGGAAAAGCCUCUAAGCAUCAGGUAACAUCAAAUCGUACCCCAAACCGACACAGGUGGUCAGGUAGAGAAUACCAAGGCGCUUGAGAGAACUCGGGUGAAGGAACUAGGCAAAAUGGUGCCGUAACUUCGGGAGAAGGCACGCUGGUGUGUAGGUGAAGUCCCUGCGGAUGGAGCUGAGACCAGUCGAAGAUACCAGCUGGCUGCAACUGUUUAUUAAAAACACAGCACUGUGCAAACACGAAAGUGGACGUAUACGGUGUGACGCCUGCCCGGUGCCGGAAGGUUAAUUGAUGGGGUUAUCCGUAAGGAGAAGCUCUUGAUCGAAGCCCCGGUAAACGGCGGCCGUAACUAUAACGGUCCUAAGGUAGCGAAAUUCCUUGUCGGGUAAGUUCCGACCUGCACGAAUGGCGUAAUGAUGGCCAGGCUGUCUCCACCCGAGACUCAGUGAAAUUGAACUCGCUGUGAAGAUGCAGUGUACCCGCGGCAAGACGGAAAGACCCCGUGAACCUUUACUAUAGCUUGACACUGAACAUUGAGCCUUGAUGUGUAGGAUAGGUGGGAGGCUUUGAAGCGUGGACGCCAGUCUGCGUGGAGCCAACCUUGAAAUACCACCCUUUAAUGUUUGAUGUUCUAACGUUGGCCCCUGACCGGGGUUGCGGACAGUGUCUGGUGGGUAGUUUGACUGGGGCGGUCUCCUCCCAAAGCGUAACGGAGGAGCACGAAGGUUAGCUAAUCCUGGUCGGACAUCAGGAGGUUAGUGCAAUGGCAUAAGCUAGCUUGACUGCGAGCGUGACGGCGCGAGCAGGUGCGAAAGCAGGUCAUAGUGAUCCGGUGGUUCUGAAUGGAAGGGCCAUCGCUCAACGGAUAAAAGGUACUCCGGGGAUAACAGGCUGAUACCGCCCAAGAGUUCAUAUCGACGGCGGUGUUUGGCACCUCGAUGUCGGCUCAUCACAUCCUGGGGCUGAAGUAGGUCCCAAGGGUAUGGCUGUUCGCCAUUUAAAGUGGUACGCGAGCUGGGUUUAGAACGUCGUGAGACAGUUCGGUCCCUAUCUGCCGUGGGCGCUGGAGAAUUGAGGGGGGCUGCUCCUAGUACGAGAGGACCGGAGUGGACGCAUCACUGGUGUUCGGGUUGUCAUGCCAAUGGCACUGCCCGGUAGCUAAAUGCGGAAGAGAUAAGUGCUGAAAGCAUCUAAGCACGAAACUUGCCCCGAGAUGAGUUCUCCCUGAGACUUUAAGUCUCCUGAAGGAACGUUAAAGACGAUGACGUUGAUAGGCCGGGUGUGUAAGCGCAGCGAUGCGUUGAGCUAACCGGUACUAAUGAACCGUGAGGCUUAACCUU
This 2006-nucleotide ribosomal RNA is filed under the name Klebsiella pneumoniae. RNAcentral describes it as "bacterial LSU rRNA". It matches the Rfam family "Bacterial large subunit ribosomal RNA", at positions 941 to 2925 of the family's 2925-position model. The record is from RNAcentral. Lineage: Bacteria; Pseudomonadati; Pseudomonadota; Gammaproteobacteria; Enterobacterales; Enterobacteriaceae.